UGGAGGGAACAUGGAAACCUGGGUAAUGAUGUGGGAGAGAACAUUCUCCAGUGCUGACGUGGGUUUCCCUGCGCCAGAGAACCAGAGAUGGGGUAAUUGAAGCUCAUGCUCCGAACAGUUAUAGCAAAGGAGAAACCACAGAGCUUGCAGGAAGAAGAGGCCAUGUGAGUAGAGAGUGAGAACUCGGCUGCCUAUGAGCCCAUACGAAGAAGCCUCAGGAUGAAAGCUACCUGACCAACACCUUGAUUUUGGACUCUUCUAGAACAUGGGAAAUAAAUUUUUGUUGUUUUAUAAGCUA
This 298-nucleotide long non-coding RNA is filed under the name Homo sapiens (human). RNAcentral's name for it is "HSALNT0358685". The record is from RNAcentral. Lineage: Eukaryota; Metazoa; Chordata; Mammalia; Primates; Hominidae.